Molecule: ribosomal RNA, 157 nt
Filed under: Phaeoacremonium rubrigenum
Lineage: Eukaryota; Fungi; Ascomycota; Sordariomycetes; Togniniales; Togniniaceae
Description: partial large subunit ribosomal RNA
Rfam family: Eukaryotic large subunit ribosomal RNA
Source: RNAcentral
CGGCAACAGCUCAAAUUUGAAAUCUGGCCUCGGCCCGAGUUGUAAUUUGCAGAGGAUGCUUCGGGCGCGGUGCCUACUGAGUUCCCUGGAACGGGACGCCGUAGAGGGUGAGAGCCCCGUACGGUAGGACGCCUAGCCUGUGUGAAGCUCCUUCGAC